RNAcentral lists this ribosomal RNA (459 nucleotides) under uncultured bacterium. RNAcentral's name for it is "partial 16S ribosomal RNA". It matches the Rfam family "Bacterial small subunit ribosomal RNA", at positions 338 to 795 of the family's 1533-position model. The record is from RNAcentral.
CCUACGGGAGGCAGCAGUGAGGAAUAUUGGUCAAUGGCCGAAAGGCUGAACCAGCCACGCCGCGUGAAGGACGAAGGUGCCAAGCAUUUUAAACUUCUUUUGCCAAGGGACAAAAUCAGACUCGCGAGCCUGUCCGAGGGUACUUGCAGAAAACGCAUCGGCUAACUCCGUGCAAGCAGCCGCGGUAAUACGGAGGAUGCGAGCUUUAUCCGGUUUUAUUGGGUUUAAGGGGUGCGUAGGCGGGCUGUAAAGUCAGCGGUAAAAGCCCGGGGCUAAACCUGGGCGAGCCGUUGAAACUGGCUGUCUUGAGAAGUCGAGAGGUAUGCGGAAUGCGCAGUGUAGCGGUGAAAUGCUUAGAUAUUGCGCAGAACUCCGAUUGCGAAGGCGGCAUACCGGCGGCGAUCUGACGCUGAGGCACGAAAGCGUGGGUAUCGAACAGGAUUAGAUACCCGUGUAGUC